RNAcentral lists this transfer RNA (73 nucleotides) under Actinomyces sp. RNAcentral's name for it is "tRNA-Arg". It matches the Rfam family "tRNA". Rfam says of the family: Transfer RNA (tRNA) molecules are approximately 80 nucleotides in length. Their secondary structure includes four short double-helical elements and three loops (D, anti-codon, and T loops). Further hydrogen bonds mediate the characteristic L-shaped molecular structure. tRNAs have two regions of fundamental functional importance: the anti-codon, which is responsible for specific mRNA codon recognition, and the 3' end, to which the tRNAs corresponding amino acid is attached (by aminoacyl-tRNA synthetases). tRNAs cope with the degeneracy of the genetic code in two manners: having more than one tRNA (with a specific anti-codon) for a particular amino acid; and 'wobble' base-pairing, i.e. permitting non-standard base-pairing at the 3rd anti-codon position. RNAcentral also lists the same sequence under 4 other names. Lineage: Bacteria; Bacillati; Actinomycetota; Actinomycetes; Actinomycetales; Actinomycetaceae. The record is from RNAcentral.
GCCCUCGUAGCUCAGGGGAUAGAGCACCGCUCUCCUAAAGCGGGUGUCGGACGUUCGAAUCGUCUCGAGGGCA